RNAcentral lists this ribosomal RNA (493 nucleotides) under uncultured bacterium. RNAcentral describes it as "partial 16S ribosomal RNA". It matches the Rfam family "Bacterial small subunit ribosomal RNA", at positions 30 to 523 of the family's 1533-position model. The record is from RNAcentral.
AUUGAACGCUGGCGGCAUGCUUUACACAUGCAAGUCGAACGGUAACAGGUUAAGCUGACGAGUGGCGAACGGGUGAGUAAUGCAUCGGAACGUGCCCGAUCGUGGGGGAUAACACUUCGAAAGAAGUGCUAAUACCGCAUACGAUCUGAGGAUGAAAGCGGGGGACCGUAAGGCCUCGCGCGAUCGGAGCGGCCGAUGUCAGAUUAGGUAGUUGGUGGGGUAAAGGCCUACCAAGCCGACGAUCUGUAGCUGGUCUGAGAGGACGACCAGCCACACUGGGACUGAGACACGGCCCAGACUCCUACGGGAGGCAGCAGUGGGGAAUUUUGGACAAUGGGCGCAAGCCUGAUCCAGCAAUGCCGCGUGCAGGAAGAAGGCCUUCGGGUUGUAAACUGCUUUUGUACGGAGCGAAAAGGCUCUCUCUAAUACAGGGGGCUGAUGACGGUACCGUAAGAAUAAGCACCGGCUAACUACGUGCCAGCAGCCGCCGUAA